RNAcentral lists this ribosomal RNA (1023 nucleotides) under Shimizuomyces paradoxus. RNAcentral describes it as "SSU rRNA". It matches the Rfam family "Eukaryotic small subunit ribosomal RNA", at positions 81 to 1110 of the family's 1831-position model. Lineage: Eukaryota; Fungi; Ascomycota; Sordariomycetes; Hypocreales; Clavicipitaceae. The record is from RNAcentral.
GCGAAACUGCGAAUGGCUCAUUAUAUAAGUUAUCGUUCAUUUGAUAGUGCCUUCUUACUUGGAUAACCGUGGUAAUUCUAGAGCUAAUACAUGCUGGGAAUCCCGACUCCGGAAGGGAUGUAUUUAUUAGACCAAAAGCCAAUGCCCCCCCCCGGGGCUCGCUGGUGAUUCACAAUAACUUCUCGAAUCGCAGGGCCUUGCGCCGGCGAUGGUUCAUUCAAAUUUCUUCCCUAUCAACUUUCGACGUUUGGGUAGUGGCCAAACAUGGUGGCAACGGGUAACGGAGGGUUAGGGCUCGACCCCGGAGAAGGAGCCUGAGAAACGGCUACUACAUCCAAGGAAGGCAGCAGGCGCGCAAAUUACCCAAUCCCGACCCGGGGAGGUAGUGACAAUAAAUACCGAUACAGGGCUCUUUUGGGUCUUGUAAUUGGAAUGAGUACAAUUUAAAUCCCUUAGCGAGGAACAAUUGGAGGGCAAGUCUGGUGCCAGCAGCCGCGGUAAUUCCAGCUCCAAUAGCGUAUAUUAAAGUUGUUGUGGUUAAAAAGCUCGUAGUUGAACCUUGGGCCUGGCUGGCCGGUCCGCCUCACCGCGUGCACUGGUCCGGCCGGGCCUUUCCCCCUGUGGAACCCCAUGCCCUUCGCUGGGUGCGGCGGGGAAACAGGACGUUUACUUUGAAAAAAUUAGAGUGCUUCAGGCAGGCCUAUGCUCGGAUACAUUAGCAUGGAAUAAUGAAAUAGGAUGUGCGGUUCUAUUUUGUUGGUUUCUGGGACCGCCGUAAUGAUCGAUAGGGACAGUCGGGGGCGUCAGUAUUCAGUUGUCAGAGGUGAAAUUCUUGGAUUUACUGAAGACUAACCACUGCGAAAGCAUUCGCCAGGGAUGUUUUCAUUAAUCAGGAACGAAAGUUAGGGGAUCGAAGACGAUCAGAUACCGUCGUAGUCUUAACCAUAAACUAUGCCGACUAGGGAUCGGACGAUGUUAUCUUUUUGACUCGUUCGGCACCUUGCGAGAAAUCAAAGUGCUUGG